RNAcentral lists this ribosomal RNA (582 nucleotides) under uncultured bacterium. RNAcentral's name for it is "bacterial SSU rRNA". The stretch from base 1 to 515 matches the Rfam family "Bacterial small subunit ribosomal RNA", at positions 32 to 546 of the family's 1533-position model. The record is from RNAcentral.
GACGCCGGCGGCGUGUUUAAGAAUGCAAGUCGCACGGGAUAAGACAUGUAGCAAUACCUGUUUUAUUUAGUGGCGCACGGGUGAGUAACACGUGAAUUACAUGCCCUAUAGAGGGGAAUAGCCCAGGGAAACUUGGAUUAAUACCCCAUAGUCUCGCAAGAGUAAAGGUGGCCAGCAAUGGCUGUCGCUAUAGGAUUGGUUCGCGCCCUAUCAGCUUGUUGGUGAGGUAACGGCUCACCAAGGCAAUGACGGGUACCUGGUCUGAGAGGACGAUCAGGCACACUGGAACUGAGACACGGUCCAGACACCUACGGGUGGCAGCAGUCGAGAAUAAUUCACAAUGGGGGCAACCCUGAUGGUGCAACGCCGCGUGGAGGAUGACGGUCUUCGGAUUGCAAACUCCUGUCAUCCCGGGAGAAAGACCUGGGAGUGAAUCGCUACAGCCUUGUAGUCCGGACGAGCAAGGNCCGCUACCUCGUGCCAUCAGCCCGCUAUACACGGUCCCAGCGUCGUUCGCAUCCNCGCGUAAGGCGCCCCCCGCNUNUAAGAACUUUACUCUCGCCCACCCCCCCCCAUCCCCCC